CAUCACGUUGAACCAGUUCCCAUAUGAUCACUGAAGUUAAGCAAUGUCAAGCCUGGUCACUACCUAGAUGGGUGACUGCUUGGGAAUACCAGGUGCUGUAAG
This is a non-coding RNA of Acanthosepion pharaonis, 102 nucleotides long. Lineage: Eukaryota; Metazoa; Mollusca; Cephalopoda; Sepiida; Sepiidae. The record is from the annotation of a GenBank genome assembly.